AACGCUGGCGGCGUGCCUAAUACAUGCAAGUCGAACGGUCUUUCUAUGGAAGCUUGCUUCACUGAGAAGGAUAGUGGCGAACGGGUGAGUAACACGUGGGUAACCUGCCCCAUAAGAGGGGGAUAACAAUCCGGAAACGGGUGCUAAUACCGCAUAGUUUCUUGAUCGCAUGAUCGGGAAAGGAAAGACGGCCUUUGUGCUGUCGCUUAUGGAUGGACCCGCGGCGUAUUAGUUAGUUGGUGAGGUAACGGCUCACCAAGACGAUGAUACGUAGCCGACCUGAGAGGGUGAUCGGCCACAUUGGGACUGAGACACGGCCCAAACUCCUACGGGAGGCAGCAGUAGGGAAUCUUCCGCAAUGGACGAAAGUCUGACGGAGCAACGCCGCGUGAGUGAAGAAGGUUUUCGGAUCGUAAAACUCUGUUGUCAGAGAAGAACAAGUUGGAGAGUAACUGCUCCAGCCUUGACGGUAUCUGACCAGAAAGCCACGGCUAACUACGUG
RNAcentral lists this ribosomal RNA (502 nucleotides) under uncultured bacterium. Its description in RNAcentral is "bacterial SSU rRNA". It matches the Rfam family "Bacterial small subunit ribosomal RNA", at positions 32 to 507 of the family's 1533-position model. The record is from RNAcentral.